UACGUAGGGUGCAAGCGUUGUCCGGAAUUAUUGGGCGUAAAGAGCUCGUAGGCGGCCUGUCGCGUCGGCUGUGAAAUCCCGAGGCUCAACCUCGGGUCUGCAGUCGAUACGGGCAAACUGGAGUGUUGCAGGGGAGACUGGAAUUCCUGGUGUAGCGGUGAAAUGCGCAGAUAUCAGGAGGAACACCGGUGGCGAAGGCGGGUCUCUGGGCAACAACUGACGCUGAGGAGCGAAAGCGUGGGGAGCGAACAGG
RNAcentral lists this ribosomal RNA (253 nucleotides) under uncultured bacterium. Its description in RNAcentral is "partial 16S ribosomal RNA". It matches the Rfam family "Bacterial small subunit ribosomal RNA", at positions 524 to 776 of the family's 1533-position model. The record is from RNAcentral.